This 316-nucleotide small RNA is filed under the name Histoplasma capsulatum. RNAcentral describes it as "hypothetical RNA". The record is from RNAcentral. RNAcentral also lists the same sequence under 1 other name. Lineage: Eukaryota; Fungi; Ascomycota; Eurotiomycetes; Onygenales; Ajellomycetaceae.
AGCUAUUCAUGCAUUGAAGGUGGCUGGGCGGAUAUUUUUUUUUCAUGUCAUACAGCUCAAUGUGCAUAGCUGAAGCGCGAAAGAGGAGUCGGCCAGUGAGGAGAUCAUCGUAGGAUUUUCAGAGAGCCGGGGUAGAAUACACAUACCGGCUGCUGGCGCCGUGGGAUGUUGUUGAAGGCCAAUGCCAGUCUGAGAUCUCCAAGUGCGGGCAACAUUACUGGCUGAUAAAAGUUCCCGAAUCACUAGCUAUGGGGAAGAGCGCGACAAACUUGAGCUAGGAGGAAGGGCAUCAUGCCCAUAUGUCGUUUAUGGGGGG